This 227-nucleotide ribosomal RNA is filed under the name uncultured bacterium. Its description in RNAcentral is "partial 16S ribosomal RNA". It matches the Rfam family "Bacterial small subunit ribosomal RNA", at positions 109 to 334 of the family's 1533-position model. The record is from RNAcentral.
AGUAACGCGUGAGGAACCUGCCUCAAAGAGGGGGACGACAGUUGGAAACGACUGCUAAUACCGCAUAAGCCCACGGCUCGGCAUCGAGCAGAGGGAAAAGGAGCAAUCCGCUUUGAGAUGGCCUCGCGUCCGAUUAGCUGGUUGGUGAGGUAAUGGCCCACCAAGGCGACGAUCGGUAGUCGGACUGAGAGGUUGAACGGCCACAUUGGGACUGAGACACGGCCCAG